GAUGAACGCUAGCGGCAGGCCUAACACAUGCAAGUCGAGGGGCAGCACAGAAACAGCAAUGUUUUGGUGGCGACCGGCGGACGGGUGCGUAACGCGUAUGCAACCUACCUUUAACAGGGGGAUAACGGAGAGAAAUUUCCACUAAUACCCCAUAACAUCGAUCAAGGCAUCUUGAUUGGUUGAAAACUCCGGUGGUUAAAGAUGGGCAUGCGUUGUAUUAGGUAGUUGGUGAAGUAAUGGCUCACCAAGCCUACGAUACAUAGGGGGACUGGGAGGUUAGCCCCCCACACUGGUACUGAGACACGGACCAGACUCCUACGGGAGGCAGCAGUGAGGAAUAUUGGUCAAUGGGGGCAACCCUGAACCAGCCAGGCCGCGUGCAGGAAGACGGCUCUAUGAGUUGUAAACUGCUUUUAAACAGGGAUAAAGCACAGUAUGUAUACAGUGUUGAAGGUACUGUAAGAAUAAGGAUCGGCUAACUCCGUGCCAGCCGCCGCCGUAA
This 502-nucleotide ribosomal RNA is filed under the name uncultured bacterium. RNAcentral describes it as "partial 16S ribosomal RNA". It matches the Rfam family "Bacterial small subunit ribosomal RNA", at positions 28 to 523 of the family's 1533-position model. The record is from RNAcentral.